This 429-nucleotide ribosomal RNA is filed under the name Gemmatimonadota bacterium. RNAcentral describes it as "Gemmatimonadetes bacterium partial 16S ribosomal RNA". It matches the Rfam family "Bacterial small subunit ribosomal RNA", at positions 355 to 776 of the family's 1533-position model. The record is from RNAcentral. Lineage: Bacteria; Pseudomonadati; Gemmatimonadota.
UAGGGAAUCUUCGGCAAUGGACGAAAGUCUGACCGAGCAACGCCGCGUGAGUGAAGAAGGUUUUCGGAUCGUAAAACUCUGUUGUUAGAGAAGAACAAGGACGUUAGUAACUGAACGUCCCCUGACGGUAUCUAACCAGAAAGCCACGGCUAACUACGUGCCAGCAGCCGCGGUAAUACGUAGGUGGCAAGCGUUGUCCGGAUUUAUUGGGCGUAAAGCGAGCGCAGGCGGUUUCUUAAGUCUGAUGUGAAAGCCCCCGGCUCAACCGGGGAGGGUCAUUGGAAACUGGGAGACUUGAGUGCAGAAGAGGAGAGUGGAAUUCAAUGUGUAGCGGUGAAAUGCGUAGAUAUAUGGAGGAAAACCAGUGGCGAAGGCGGCUCUCUGGUCUGUAACUGACGCUGAGGCUCGAAAGCGUGGGGAGCAAACAGG